AUUGAACGCUGCGGAAUGCUUUACACAUGCAAGUCGAACGGCAGCACGGGGCGAACCUGGUGGCGAGUGGCGAACGGGUGAGUAAUACAUCGGAACGUGCCCAAUCGUGGGGGAUAACGUAGCGAAAGUUACGCUAAUACCGCAUACGAUCUACGGAUGAAAGCGGGGGAUCGCAAGACCUCGCGCGAGUGGAGCGGCCGAUGUCAGAUUAGGUAGUUGGUGGGGUAAAGGCUCACCAAGCCAACGAUCUGUAGCUGGUCUGAGAGGACGACCAGCCACACUGGAACUGAGACACGGUCCAGACUCCUACGGGAGGCAGCAGUGGGGAAUUUUGGACAAUGGGCGCAAGCCUGAUCCAGCCAUUCCGCGUGCAGGAUGAAGGCCUUCGGGUUGUAAACUGCUUUUGUACGGAACGAAACGGCGAGCUCUAAUACAGUUUGCUAAUGACGGUACCGUAAGAAUAAGCACCGGCUAACUACGUG
RNAcentral lists this ribosomal RNA (482 nucleotides) under uncultured bacterium. RNAcentral's name for it is "bacterial SSU rRNA". It matches the Rfam family "Bacterial small subunit ribosomal RNA", at positions 30 to 507 of the family's 1533-position model. The record is from RNAcentral.